AUCACAACACCUCGGGUAAGAAGAGGACACAGACAACACAUAUUAACGCACAGAUACUACAAAACCAGUUCUUAUGGCAUUUAUGUUAAUGUUUGUACAAAUGCUUCAGACCCCCAGUGUGUCUCUGCAGCUAAUAACAGCGCAGAAUGGCUGCAACUCAACUUUGGUUUCUUCUCAAGCUUUGCCUCUAUCAUCGACUUCUACACACUCAACCCUUAUUUCUCUGGACUGGAGGCUCUUGACCUCCUGACUCCAAAUCAGACGGUAGAGUUGCUGCUGUUGACUCUCCCAACUCCACCAGAGAAAGACGUUGUCAUCAGCCAAGUGUUUAACUUCCUGACGGAGUCACCUGCAGCCAGGAAGUACCCAGAGGUCCUCAGCGCUUUGGUCAGGCUCGCUGGAAAGGUAAUAGCUUUGGCUGAGAUGUGUAGGUGUUGAGCAUGCUUUAGCCUUCCUCAAAUAUUAAUCAUAAAAUAUGCAAUUUUUCAGAUCAAUCCUUCCUGCGACAUCUACAAACAAAUGUGAGUACCUUCAAAUGGUUUUCUGACACAAUAUGACUUAUGAUUCUUUCCAAACUGUUUUGUUCUUUGUAUGAAUCAGGAAAACUCUCUCACAGCAGACCAUGUUCAAGCUAAGGCUUCACUGCAAUGCAUUAAUGGCUAAAGCUGAACCAUUGCUAUUGCUAUUACUAAAUUCACCCUGAGAAAAACAGAAAGAGAAAGAAAUUAGAUUAAACUAUAAAUCACGGCAUUAAUAUAGCUUAUUAACUGGAUUAAUACAGGAUAAUGUAGAAAAAUUAAUUACAUCACAGGCAGUCAUUUUUAAUGCAGAUUUAAUUUCAG
Oreochromis niloticus (Nile tilapia) is the source of this 842-nucleotide long non-coding RNA. Lineage: Eukaryota; Metazoa; Chordata; Actinopteri; Cichliformes; Cichlidae. The record is from Ensembl.